Molecule: non-coding RNA, 3161 nt
Organism: Oryctolagus cuniculus (rabbit)
Lineage: Eukaryota; Metazoa; Chordata; Mammalia; Lagomorpha; Leporidae
Source: RefSeq, a predicted model, not a curated record
ACCUUCCCACCACUUGAUGUAAGUCUGGGAUUUUAUUCUUCUUGCUCCCCCAGUCCCUAGAGGCUUUCAUGUUUCACCAGUUUUGUGUACCUUCCCACAGGGGGGAGGGUAGAAUAUCCUUUCCAAGCUGGAAUCUGGACUUAAACCAUCCCCCAUCCGACUCCUGUAACUCUACAGUGGCCUCUACAUCCCAAAGAGGAUAAGGGGGGGUGCGUGAGACAGCAGGCUUCCUGGGACCCUGAUGCCCAGGAAAGUCAGGGGUUUCUAACAGCUGCUUCCUAUCUCAGAGUGUCCAGACAACCUAAACACUAUCAGUCCUGAAGCUAAUCCUCUUUAUUGGUGGACACUGCCUUCUGUGUUUCGUGAGCCAUAACAUGGAGAACAUCAGCAUGGGGGGGUCAGAAAGAUGUGGACACAGGCUACUGGCUAGCUCAUGGCUCUCCAGUCUAUUCCAGGGACCCCAAGAGAAUGAGGGACACUGACACAGGUGGGUGACCCUGAAACCACAAAGCGCCCAUCCAAAUGUUAGCAGCUAAGUUAGAGCCUUGCCCAUGUGCCUACAGCAAGCAGGAAGGACACUGGUGAGGAGUGGCAAAGGUGUCCCUAGACGGGAAGGGCUCAGCUCCCCUCAACAGAAGAAGACUGAUGGGUUACUAGCUCUGCAGAUGGCUCCUCUAGAUAAAAUCCAAAUCCUCUGUGGUGCCCCUGGAUACCCUAGAGAUAGGACAAGCUGGAGAGAGAGAAGAUGGACACUGGAGUCACAAAACGAGCUAUUAAAGGAGUUUCAGUGAAAGCAGACACAGAGAGGGGUGGAAUGUUUGCCCUGUGUCCUGGUUUUAAAGUUCUGACUCACUGAUUCCCUGAGCUUCCCAUCCCACCCUUGGGAAGAGACUGGUUAUGAAAUCAGAUGCUUCUGUUUCUAAGCCAGGAUGGAGCAGCAGUGGAUGUCUAAGUCAUUAAAAGACUUCUAAUGGUGGGAUUUGAAGCAGGAGUUUGGACACUGUGGGGGAUACACACAUCCUACAUGGUGGUGCUUAGAUUCCAUUCCUAUCUCUACUUUGAUUCUAGCUUCUUGUGUAUGUACUCCUGGGGAGGCAGCACAUGAUGGCUCAACUGGUUGGGUCCCUGCCACCCAUGUGUCAGACCUCAAUUGAGUGCCCAGCCCCAGUAGUGGCAUUUCAGGGGUGAAUCAGCAGGUGUGUGAUAUCUGUGUCUAUGUCAAAUAAGUAUUGUUUUAAAAAAACUGUAGAGGGAAAUUUGAGAUUUGGUCUGCUUAUGAUCAUCAAAGUGGUAUUGGGGUAGGUUUUGGUUUCCAAGAUGGCUGGAGUCCCUAAAUUUUAGGCAUAAGACACAUAUCACUUGCUGCCCGGAGACCCCAAUUGUCUGGAAACCAUCCAGUAAGACCCUAAAUAUGAAUCAGCCUUUUCCUAGAAAUUCAUGAAAAGUGCUUAAAGGUCUUUUCCAAAUCCUUAACCUGUGUUAUGGCCACCAUAAAAAGAAAUUAGGAUUCAGCCCAUGUGAAUUAUCUAUGGAAGGCUCUUUCCCAAUUGUGCUGGGCCCUUGACCUGCCAAAGGUGGAAAAUGAGAACAAGAAAACACAAUGAGGGCAGGUAGUGGCUGCUCUCAUCUGGUGUGCAAAUAAGACCUACUCUCACCUACACAGGUAGAAAGCCUACCCCCUUGAUUGUAAACUGAGCUCUCUUCAGGAGCAGUUUAACCCCAUCUGGGCAGGACCACACCUGGCCCUGCUAACGACUGACUGUUCUCUUAAACUACCACACGGGAUUCCUUUAAGUCUCCACACCUGAGAGCAGAGAAGUUCUGUGUUUCACCUGAACCUUACAUGGCUCCUUGGAGAGCCUCUGUCAGACCUCAAACUGCUGCUCUACUGGGCCCCACAUAUAAUGUCAGGAAAGGACGCCUAUAAACGCCUGCCCUGUUGCCCAUAGCCUCUGGGGGCUACACCCGGUGUCUCAAGUCCUUUGUGGGUGUUGAGUAGGAGAGUCUCUCUCCACCAGCCUGGGCCAUGUCCAGGAUCAUCAAGAAGUAGUUACAGCAGCUUGACUUCCUGCCUUACCCCUCAAGAUGGGAGUGAAAUGUCUUAGGGGGCAUCUUGUAGCCAAAUGUGUAGGAUUUGGGGGAAGUGGGGAGGGGAGAAAUGGACCAGGGGCUGGGAAUGUAAACCGCCUAGAGCUUGUUUUCCUGAUGUACCCGGGGAGCUGAAAUUGUUACAUUUAACUCAGAGUGUCUGGACUGCUACAAACCACCACUGAAGCAGCAGCAAGAAGCCAGUUCGAGUCAGAUCUUGCAGACCUGAGCUAGGCUUUCCUCAUAGUGCGGUCCGGUUCUUCACCAGGGGAGGAGACGGCCGCCAUUUUCUGAACUGAGAAAGUAUGAAGAUUGGCCCGGGCGGAAGCAGGAGGGCCCUCCGGUCUGUGGCUGGCCUUGGCCAUGCCCUUCCCCCUGCUGCAGAAGCCCAGGCAGACGAUGGGGUUAGUUUCUUUGGGGGAACCCUUCUUCCCAUGGCCUACUUUUCACUAGGUUAUGUGGGGAUGCCUGAAGCCAGUGGACCCUGGCAGCGGACACCCGGAUGUGCGGCCUUCCCAGCGGCCCCGGCGAGGCCCGAAUGGUCCACAGCUGCGGGAAACGGUUCCUGGUUACAACUUGUGGUUUCAGUCGCAUCUGAGUUGAAGUCUUGGCCCAGACAUUUGCUAGCUGAGGUGUUGUUGGCAGGACGUUUUACCAUCCGUGAGUGGUCUUUUAUUUGAGAAUAAAAGUGGGGGUGUGAGCAUUGUGUUUUGUGGUUGGGACAUCAGAGUAUCAGAGUGCCUGGGUUUAGUGCCUGUCACCUUCUUGCUAAUACAGAUCCUGGGGGGUUAAGGCUCAAAUGCUUGGGUUACUGCCACCUGUUAGGGAGAUACGGGGUGAGUUCCUGGUUCUUGGCUUCUGCCUGGAGCCAUUGCAGAUGUGGGGAGUGGAUCAGUGAAUGAAUGAGAAACUGAACUCAGACACACGGAAUGUUCUUUGCUGGGGUAUUCAUCUAAUGGUUUCCAGUGACUGAGGACUGAAUGCUGGUGUUUUCUGGUUUGCCUAUUUCCCUGAUGGUUGGUUUUAGACUAUAUGCACAAGCCAAAGGGAAGAUGGACUACAAACUACGAACU